UACAGAGGUGGCAAGCGUUGUUCGGAUUUACUGGGCGUAAAGGGCGCGUAGGCGGCUUGGUAAGUCCCGUGUGAAAUCCCUCGGCUCAACUGAGGAACUGCACGGGAAACUGCCUGGCUUGAGUUCGGGAGAGGGAAGCGGAAUUCCGGGUGUAGCGGUGAAAUGCGUAGAUAUCCGGAGGAACACCGGUGGCGAAGGCGGCUUCCUGGACCGACACUGACGCUGAGGCGCGAAAGCUAGGGGAGCAAACGGG
This 253-nucleotide ribosomal RNA is filed under the name uncultured bacterium. RNAcentral's name for it is "partial 16S ribosomal RNA". It matches the Rfam family "Bacterial small subunit ribosomal RNA", at positions 524 to 776 of the family's 1533-position model. The record is from RNAcentral.